AACGAACGCUGGCGGCGUGCCUAAUACAUGCAAGUUGAGCGCUGAAGGUUGGUACUUGUACCAACUGGAUGAGCAGCGAACGGGUGAGUAACGCGUGGGGAAUCUGCCUUUGAGCGGGGGACAACAUUUGGAAACGAAUGCUAAUACCGCAUAAAAACUUUAAACACAAGUUUUAAGUUUGAAAGAUGCAAUUGCAUCACUCAAAGAUGAUCCCGCGUUGUAUUAGCUAGUUGGUGAGGUAAAGGCUCACCAAGGCGAUGAUACAUAGCCGACCUGAGAGGGUGAUCGGCCACAUUGGGACUGAGAAACGGCCCAAACUCCUACGGGAGGCAGCAGUAGGGAAUCUUCGGAAAUGGACGAAAGUCUGACCGAGAAACGCCGCGGGAGUGAAGAAGGUUUUCGGAUCGGAAAACUCUGUUGGUAGAGAAGAACGUUGGUGAGAGUGGAAAGCUCAUCAAGUGACGGUAACUACCCAGAAAGGGACGGCUAACUACGUG
Molecule: ribosomal RNA, 497 nt
Filed under: uncultured bacterium
Lineage: Bacteria
Description: partial 16S ribosomal RNA
Rfam family: Bacterial small subunit ribosomal RNA
Source: RNAcentral